Transfer RNA from Pelodiscus sinensis (Chinese soft-shelled turtle), 73 nucleotides. It matches the Rfam family "tRNA". Rfam says of the family: Transfer RNA (tRNA) molecules are approximately 80 nucleotides in length. Their secondary structure includes four short double-helical elements and three loops (D, anti-codon, and T loops). Further hydrogen bonds mediate the characteristic L-shaped molecular structure. tRNAs have two regions of fundamental functional importance: the anti-codon, which is responsible for specific mRNA codon recognition, and the 3' end, to which the tRNAs corresponding amino acid is attached (by aminoacyl-tRNA synthetases). tRNAs cope with the degeneracy of the genetic code in two manners: having more than one tRNA (with a specific anti-codon) for a particular amino acid; and 'wobble' base-pairing, i.e. permitting non-standard base-pairing at the 3rd anti-codon position. The record is from Rfam. Lineage: Eukaryota; Metazoa; Chordata; Testudines; Trionychidae.
AAUCAGGUGGCUUAAUGGAUGAAGCACUAGCCUUUUGACCCAGGAAUUGUGGGUUCAAGUCCCUCUUGGGGUA